Molecule: microRNA precursor, 81 nt
Organism: Aotus nancymaae (Ma's night monkey)
Lineage: Eukaryota; Metazoa; Chordata; Mammalia; Primates; Aotidae
Source: Ensembl
UGUCUAAAUUGCAUGUCAAAUUGUAAUCCCCAGGCCCUUCCUCCAAUACUGGGAAUUACAAUUUGACAUGCAAUUUAGACA